Molecule: ribosomal RNA, 165 nt
Filed under: uncultured bacterium
Lineage: Bacteria
Description: partial 16S rRNA
Rfam family: Bacterial small subunit ribosomal RNA
Source: RNAcentral
UAGGGAAUCUUCCACAAUGGGCGAAAGCCUGAUGGAGCAACGCCGCGUGUGUGAUGAAGGGUUUCGGCUCGUAAAACACUGUUGUAAGAGAAGAAUGACAUUGAGAGUAACUGUUCAAUGUGUGACGGUAUCUUACCAGAAAGGAACGGCUAAAUACGUGCCAGG